GCCCUUGACAUCCAGAGAACUUUCCAGAGAUGGAUUGGUGCCUUCGGGAACUCUGAGACAGGUGCUGCAUGGCCGUUGUCAGCUCGUGUCGUGAGAUGUUGGGUUAAGUCCCGUAACGAGCGCAACCCCUAUCCUUGGUUGCUACCAGGUAAUGCUGAGAACUCCAGGGAGACAGGCGCUGACAAACCGGAGGAAGGUGGGGACGACGUCAGGUCAUCAUGGCCCUUAUGGCCAGGGCUACACACCUGCUCCAAUGGCGAGCACAGAGGGGGGCCAACUCGCGAGAGUGAGCCAAUCCCUUAAACACGCGUCGUAGUCCGGAGCGGAGUCUGCAACUCCGUCUCCGUGAAGUCGGAAUCCUUAUAAAGGGUGUAUCAGAAUGUCGCGGUGAAUAAGGUCCCAGGGUAGGUACUCACCGAA
RNAcentral lists this ribosomal RNA (420 nucleotides) under uncultured bacterium. Its description in RNAcentral is "bacterial SSU rRNA". It matches the Rfam family "Bacterial small subunit ribosomal RNA", at positions 977 to 1394 of the family's 1533-position model. The record is from RNAcentral.